UACGAAGGGGGCUAGCGUUGCUCGGAAUUACUGGGCGUAAAGGGCGCGUAGGCGGCGACUCAAGUUAGAUGUGAAAGUCCUGGGCUUAACCUGGGGACUGCAUUUGAUACUGGGUUGCUUGAAUUCGGGAGAGGAUAGCGGAAUUCCCAGUGUAGAGGUGAAAUUCGUAGAUAUUGGGAAGAACACCGGUGGCGAAGGCGGCUAUCUGGACCGACAUUGACGCUGAGGCGCGAAAGCGUGGGGAGCAAACAGG
This 253-nucleotide ribosomal RNA is filed under the name uncultured bacterium. RNAcentral's name for it is "partial 16S ribosomal RNA". It matches the Rfam family "Bacterial small subunit ribosomal RNA", at positions 524 to 776 of the family's 1533-position model. The record is from RNAcentral.